UACAGAGGGGGCAAGCGUUGUUCGGAAUUACUGGGCGUAAAGGGCGCGUAGGCGGCCUGCUAAGUCGAACGUGAAAUCCCUGGGCUCAACCCAGGAACUGCGUCCGAUACUGGUUGGCUUGAAUCCGGGAGAGGGAUGUGGAAUUCCAGGUGUAGCGGUGAAAUGCGUAGAUAUCCGGAGGAACACCGGUGGCGAAGGCGGCUUCCUGGACCGACACUGACGCUGAGGCGCGAAAGCCAGGGGAGCAAACGGG
This 253-nucleotide ribosomal RNA is filed under the name uncultured bacterium. Its description in RNAcentral is "partial 16S ribosomal RNA". It matches the Rfam family "Bacterial small subunit ribosomal RNA", at positions 524 to 776 of the family's 1533-position model. The record is from RNAcentral.